CCUACGGGAGGCAGCAGUGGGGAAUAUUGCACAAUGGGCGAAAGCCUGAUGCAGCAAAGCCGCGUGAGCGAUGAAGGCCUUCGGGUCGUAAAACUCUGUCCUCCAGGAAGAUAAUGACGGUACGUGAGGAGGAAGCCACGGCUAACUACGUGCCAGCAGCCGCGGUCAUACGUAGGGGGCUAGCGUUAUCCGGAAUUACUGGGCGUAAAGGGUGCGUUGGUGGGUUCUUAAGUCAGAGGUGAAAGGCUGCGGCUCAACCGUAGUAAGCCUUUGAAACUGGGGAACUUGAGUGCGUGAGAGGAGAGUGGAAUUCUUGGUGUAGCGGUGAAAUGCGUAGAUAUUAGGAGGAACACCAGUUGCGAAGGCGGCUAUCUGGACUGUAACUGACACUGAGGCACGAAAGCGUGGGGAGCAAACAGGAUUAGAUACCCCAGUAGUC
This 439-nucleotide ribosomal RNA is filed under the name uncultured bacterium. RNAcentral's name for it is "partial 16S ribosomal RNA". It matches the Rfam family "Bacterial small subunit ribosomal RNA", at positions 338 to 795 of the family's 1533-position model. The record is from RNAcentral.